UACGUAGGCAGCAAGCGUUGUUCGGAGUUACUGGGCGUAAAGGGUGUGUAGGCGGUUCCUUAAGUUUGCUGUGAAAUCUCCCGGCUUAACCGGGAGGGUGCGGUGAAUACUGAGGGACUAGAGUACGGGAGAGGAAAGUGGAAUUCCUGGUGUGGCGGUGAAAUGCGUAGAUAUCAGGAGGAACACCGGUGGUGUAGACGGCUUUCUGGACCGUAACUGACGCUGAGACACGAAAGCGUGGGUAGCAAACAGG
Molecule: ribosomal RNA, 253 nt
Filed under: uncultured bacterium
Lineage: Bacteria
Description: partial 16S ribosomal RNA
Rfam family: Bacterial small subunit ribosomal RNA
Source: RNAcentral